AUGCCGCCGAGAGACGCCGUUCCGACGUCGACGCAAGUGAGUGGUAUUGGUGCUGACGGGGUUCAAACGGAAAAAGUGCUGAAAAAUCGGCCGAAGGCAAGCGCCCUUCGACAGCAAAAACUCCCCGCAUGGCAACCGAUUCUCACAGCAACCACAGUAAUUCCAACGGUUUUCGUCAUCGGAGCCAUCUUUCUACCCAUCGGCGUCUUCCUAUUCAUCGCUUCCGACGCGGUUUCCGAGUUCACCGUCGAAUACACCAAUUGCUUAUCACCGUGCCAAUUGCAAAUUAAUUUACCAAAUGCGUUCGACGGAGACGUCUUCUUGUACUAUAAUCUCGAGAAUUACUAUCAAAAUCAUCGGCGAUACGUGAAAAGCCGGAAUGAUCAGCAAUAUCUUGGAGAUUUGACGAACGUGAAGGACUGUGCUCCAUUCGACAUUGACCCUGCGACAAAGAAGCCAAUUGCUCCAUGCGGUGCGAUUGCCAAUUCGAUAUUCAACGACACUUUCACGCUGGCUCAUCGUGCCGACACAGGCAUCGUUACCAUGGUACCCGUGACGACUCAGGGUGUCAUCUGGAAUGUGGACAAGGAUCGGAAAUUCAAGAAUCCCCCGUUGAAUGAUGGCAACCUCUGUGACGCAUUCAACGUACUGACGUCAUAAAAUUAAGGUCACACUCACACACACACUGUGCUCGCGCGCAACAGCUGUUGAUGUGUGGGGCUCAUUGUUCUUGUAUAGAGCUGUGUUGACAAUGGGAGAAUAACAAAAGGGGAACAUAUUAAUGGAGAAAUUAAAAAAAAUCAAAUUACAGAAUACCACGAAACCACCGAAUUGGAGCAAAAAUCCGUGUGAAGUUGGCGGUUUUGAGAACGUGGAUUUCAUUGUUUGGAUGCGAACGGCAGCUCUUCCAUAUUUCAAAAAGCUGUGGAGAAUAGUCGACCGGACCACGAAUCCAUUGUUUUCAAAUGGACUCCCCCAGGGAACUUAUAUUUUGACAGUCGAGAAUAACUACCCAGUUCAAUCAUUCGGCGGAAAGAAAGAGUUUGUGAUAUCGACAACAAGUUGGGCUGGAGGCAAGAACUCAUUCCUCGGAAUAGCCUAUCUCGUCGUCGGAUCCCUGGCCAUUGUGCUCGGCGUAGUCUUCAUCGUGAUUCACAUGAAGUUUGGACAUUCGAUGAACGAGUUGAGCAACGUCUCGGAAAUUCAUCACUGA
Molecule: unclassified non-coding RNA, 1213 nt
Filed under: Caenorhabditis elegans
Lineage: Eukaryota; Metazoa; Nematoda; Chromadorea; Rhabditida; Rhabditidae
Description: Non-coding transcript of protein-coding gene chat-1
Source: RNAcentral